RNAcentral lists this ribosomal RNA (467 nucleotides) under uncultured bacterium. Its description in RNAcentral is "bacterial SSU rRNA". It matches the Rfam family "Bacterial small subunit ribosomal RNA", at positions 328 to 792 of the family's 1533-position model. The record is from RNAcentral.
GGUCCAGACUCCUACGGGAGGCAGCAGUGAGGAAUAUUGGUCAAUGGGCUUACGCCUGAACCAGCCAAGUCGCGUGAGGGAAGACUGCCCUAUGGGUUGUAAACCUCUUUUGUCAGGGAGCAAUUGGCGCUACGUGUAGCGUUAUCGAGAGUACCUGAAGAAAAAGCAUCGGCUAACUCCGUGCCGGCAGCCGCGGUAAUACGGAGGAUGCGAGCGUUAUCCGGAUUCAUUGGGCGUAAAGCGCGCGUAGGCGGCCUGUUAGGUCGGGGGUCAAAUGCCGGGGCUCAACCCCGGUCCGCCCCCGAUACCGGCAGGCUUGAGUCUGGUAGGGGAAGGCGGAAUUCCCAGUGUAGCGGUGGAAUGCGCAGAUAUUGGGAAGAACACCGGCGGCGAAGGCGGCCUUCUGGGCCACGACUGACGCUGAGGCGCGAAAGCUAGGGGAGCGAACAGGAUUAGAUACCCUCGUA